This is an RNA transcript of Cucurbita pepo subsp. pepo (vegetable marrow), 683 nucleotides long. RefSeq lists it as uncharacterized. The record is from RefSeq and is a predicted model, not a curated record. NCBI's taxonomy places the organism in Eukaryota, Viridiplantae, Streptophyta, Magnoliopsida, Cucurbitales, Cucurbitaceae.
UGCUAGUCGGUCUUCCCUAGAUUCUCACCUCUGGCUGGAGUUUCUUCUCCCAUUUUUUCUUUAUUUCAUUUCCCUCCGUCAUUUGCUUCCGCCCUGUGAUCUGUGUUUCCGAUUCCGGCUACUGUUUCUCUCUCUCUAUACUUGCUCUCGUUCUGAUCUUGGUCAUAUUCCAUCUUCGCCACGCGGAUUAACGUAACAUUGAGGGCUGGCUUCUAAGAAAACUGAAGGGAGGAUAUUGUGAGCAAAAGUCUUCUGAAGUCUGUUUUCUGGGAGACCAGCUGCUGCAAGCUAAGGCUCUAACUGAAAAGUGACGGUGUUUCUAUCUGGAGGGCAAUUAGUUCAGAAUUGGAGCGCUUGGAAAUGUGAUUGGAUUGUCAAAUUUACUAGAAUUGUAUUUGAACUCCUAAACUAGUAUUCACAUAGAUGAGGGCUUCACCCAAAGUUACUAGUAUUGCCGAGGGCGAGGAUGCUCAAGUGACAAGGCCUUGAGAUGUUGGGAACUUUGGAGAUACUUCCAUGGGUCUGGGAAUUCAAGCCUUAGGUUAAAAAUUUAAGUUUUAUUUCUAGUAAGUCUUUGACUUUGUUUCUAAUAAAUCCAUAAAUUUAAAGAAGUGUCUAUUAAAUCUUUACACUUUCUAUUUUGUAUCUUAUAGACUUUCUAAUAAAUCCAACAAUUGUGGGAA